UUAAGUUCAGCGGGUAUCCCUACCUGAUCCGAGGUCAACCAUAGAAAAUAGGGGGUUUUGGCAAGUAACCACCUGGACCCUGUAGCGAGAGAAUUACUACGCUUAGAGCCAGAUGGCACCGCCACUGGUUUUAAGGGCCGCGAGACCGCGAAACCCCAAUACCAAGCCGAGGCUUGAGUGGUUAUAAUGACGCUCGAACA
RNAcentral lists this unclassified non-coding RNA (200 nucleotides) under Pezoloma sp. Its description in RNAcentral is "partial internal transcribed spacer 2". The record is from RNAcentral. Lineage: Eukaryota; Fungi; Ascomycota; Leotiomycetes; Helotiales; Discinellaceae.